Chelonia mydas (Green sea turtle) is the source of this 3973-nucleotide long non-coding RNA. RefSeq lists it as uncharacterized. The transcript is spliced from 4 exons. The record is from RefSeq and is a predicted model, not a curated record. Lineage: Eukaryota; Metazoa; Chordata; Testudines; Cheloniidae.
GUCUUUUGUUGUUGUUCUCCGGAGAGAGGAGACACAGAGCAACAAUGCUGUAAGCAGCUUUAAACCAGCAUUUCUGUGGCACGUAGGAGCAAUGCUUACUUGAGAGAAGCCACCUGCCGCCUUGAUGCCAGCAAUCUCCAGAGUCGUGAACAAAACCCAGAUCUCCAUUGCUCUGUCCAGUUACUGAACUGCUCAUGCGUGCUAAGUGGGGCAAGAAGAGGAUUCUGCCACAGAUGUUUCUCUGCUUCCAUUCAUUCCUUUCAGGAAGGGGGCUGUCAUUCUUUUACACUCAGGGGAAUUCACUCUCCAUGCAUGUGCGACCUGAACAUCCUGUACACUGCCCCACCAAUGGGACCCAAGCCAGGCCUGCCAGUUACCACCCAUAGCCAUUGAAUUCCAGGGGAAUGAAGUGUUGUAUCUCAAGGAUCCAGAGAGGGGAGAGGUCUGAGCCAGAGUCUUCUGUGAGGAUACAGCAUUCCAUGGCCCAGGAAGUUCUCUCUAUCUCGUGCUCCCCUCCUAAGCCAGUAGGAAACGUACUGCUCCCCUCCCAUCCACGCCAACUCUCAUAGACAGUUCGCAGACUCCCCAAGGGCUGAAAUUUGUUCACUCACAUUAUUUAGUGAACUCUUAUUUUUACCGAGUUAUUUCUUUAGCUUUAAACACCCCGGAAGGAAGACUCUAAGUGCCCUUGACACCAGUUAACACUGUAAUCUAUAGUGAUAAACCCAUCACACAACAAAAGAGCUGUAAAUCCCUCCAGCAAACAGCCACCAUCAGCAAAAAUUAAUUAAAAAGCAGAACUUCCUGGUCCCUCAGGUCUCCAACAGAAAGCAUCACCCCUCCCUGCAUGGCCACAGCCUCCUCCCCCUGCCACCCCCAAAUGCCUGUUCUCACAAACACCAUCGAAGAGAACAACUAUAGUUUUGCAAAUGAUUCACAAUGAGACCAAAGAGAUAAUACUGAGAUUUGCAAAGCUGCUGCCCAGGGGAAUUGGGCACCCAAAUGCCAUCAAGAUUAAUGGGACUCUAACUGGGUAUCCAAAUCCCCUAGCCGGCUUUGAAAAUAGCAGCAUUGUUUGUGACAGCUCAUUUGGCCAGCCAUGUUCCUGGCCCCCGUCCAAGCAUCUCAGCGCACAGCCUCUGUAAGUGUCUGUGGCAGAGCUGUGCCCUUGAAUAAUGAAUCAGGACGUUUUUACAUUUGCCCCAUCAGAGGCAGUUGGAGGCUGGGAUUUCUGAGGUGAGUCAGGUGCCCAAAUCCCACCGAGAGAUGAUGGGAGCUAGGUGUACAGCUUCCUUUGGGCCCUUUAGAAACCCUGGCCUAGCUGUGUGGUUAGCUCGGAGACUCAGCUUUGUCAAUGUCACCUGAACUCCUAACAGUAGCGUCAGCCUCUCCACUCUCUCGUCCAGGCCUGUCCUCGGGUGGCCUCUAAAUGUACCCCUGGUGGUGAGGGUGGCCUCAUCCUCUGCCAGUCCUCCCUCCUGGAUGGGAGGGGUCUUGGACUCCCACUUCUGGGGCCAAAUGUUACAGGGUGACCCUGACGUGGGUGCCCUCCUGCAGCCGAGCUUGGCAGCUCAGGCGUGACCUGCCUCAGUUUCCCCCUCCAAAGACCUAUUGCAAAGACCUAGUGUCAACAGCAAAUUCAACCCUUUUAUUCAUAUAAAAAGCCACAGUCCACAGAUCCCUCAUGGUAAAAAGAAGUUCUCCCAUACCCCCAAAGGAGAACAAGGUGACAAGGCAGCAGCUUUUCAAUCCCAUUCCCAGGUCACCCACUCAAAAGUCAUUAAGCAUGUGGUCCCAGUUCCUUUAGCCCCACUCCCCUGGCCAUCUGCCUGAGAGCUCCCAGGCCUGCUUCUCUCCCAGGAACCUUCUCCUAUAUCCCCACAUCAGGUCUCCUGCAAGAGGCUCCCCCCAGUGUUUCACUGCCCAGGCCUCCUCAUCUGAGUCUCACCCCUGCUCCUGGGGACCUCUCUUCCGAGUCAACACCUUGCUUCUGGGCCCAGCUUAGGCUGACCACACUGGUUCUUCUUUGCAUUCCUAGGGGCCUCUGCACAAGCCUCCCUGCCACUCAGCAGGGCUCCCCAGCUCUAACCAGUCCUUCCAACAGCUUUCCCCCAAACUCACCCCCCAGCAGCUCACCGUGACAGCUCACCUUCAAUCUUCCAACAGCUCCUUUCCUUGGCAACCCCCGGGGCUCCUUCUGCCUUUCACCUGUUCCCAGGCACCUUUCCCUGGCACCCUCCUGUCUUCUAGGGCAAGCUGGGAGACAGCUGACCAGGCACAGCUGCACUUGCCUCCUUCCUCUUAAAGGGACCAGUCACAUUGUGACAAGGCCCUUCUCUUCCUUCAAGCCUCUCUCCUCGAACUUCUCCUUACCAGCUUACCUCCAGCUCAGACCCCUCCUUCAUCUCCAAGUUCUCUGACUGCCUCUCCUUGAUUGGCCUCUCCUCCAUCCUCAUCAUCACUGGGGGCUUCAUUGUCUUUGCUGAUGUGCUCCUUACCCCUUUCCCUCUGCCCUUUCCUCCCUAGGGCCCACACACUGGGUCCAUAGAAUUCAAUGGGAGUCAAUCUGAUUGGGAUUUAGCGCAUAUUCUGAUUCAGUCUGCCAUGCCCAUCCUGGCCAUUCCCUCAGGGAGCUCACUAUCAGCCAUUUCCACUCUAUCUUUAGCCUGCCUGUGAUCUCACCUGCACUGAUGGCUCCCUGGUGAUGUGCAAACAAAUGAAAUGUUUGAAAUGACCCUAUGGGGUGAAAAUGACCCCAUGGGGUAUCUUGCCCUGCUGUAAGGCUGUAUUUCAUCGCACUGGUUAGUCAGUGCACCCAGGGGCUUUGAGUGUAGGUCAGAUCAAAUCAACAGCAUGCCCCAGAGAAAGGACAUACCAAACAACACAGCUUAAAACAAUAGCUCAUUUCUGCUGGGCAAGUACAUUGCAGACUCUUCCCCCAUGCUCCUGAGCGGGUGCGAGACCCCUCAUUCCUUCCCUAUGUAAUCUGUGCCUGUCCUAGGAAGGGAGUUUAAUCUUACACACCUGGUGGAUCGUGGGGAAGACCCAGAAUUAAACCAAUCAAAUCAGCAACCCCACUGAGUCCCAGGCCCUGAAGCCGCCCCUUGCAAAGAAAUGUGCUGUAAUAAUGACUCCUAAAGAUACCUAACAAAGCCCUUUGCUAAAGAAGAGUUAAGGAUGAAAGUGUUUUCAGUGGAGUCCAGCUGACAUCCAAGCCACAAGAUGACCAUCUGGAAAUGAACAGGGAAGGGAUCUACUGGUUCCCAACUGCCAUACACUACUUCCUCAUUCAUCGUCACCCCCUCCUGAUUUACACUGCCCACCCAACCCGGACUGUGCCCCUUAGCUCCCACAGAAACCUUCCCCACUCAGCUCCUGAGCCAAACCCAGCUCAGCCAGACUCCAGAAUGGGGUGUUUGGGGUUUGGAAACAAGAUGAGCCAAGAAAAGGGCAAGGGCCAUUUUCAGAACACACCCAUGGGCAAGAUUCUCCACUGCCUUCCCCCUGGGGCCCUGCCUGUUCAAAGUGAUGCAACAUGCUACCAGUGCUUAUUGAUGCUUCAGCAGUGGCUAGAAGCCCCAGUUGAUGUCAAGACCCCAUUGUGCUAGUCCUGCACAGACACUGUCAGAGACGCUGCUGGCCGCGGGGAGCUUACAAUCUGCAUACAGAAGGUGGGGAAGUGAUUUCCCACGGUCACCCAGCAGGUCAGCGGCAGAGUUAGAUCCCAGGCAUCCUGACUCUCACUCCAGCACGCCGUGUGCUACACCAUGCUGUCCCAUGCUGACUUGAGAGUGUUUUACAUCUGCUUUACACAGGGGAAAGUGACUCUACCCGCUGAAAGGCAGGAGGGGAAAAGAUCAGCCCCCAAAUCUUUACCAUACCUUUUCUGAUUUUUGCCAGCUCAGCAGAAAAGCUCUCCCCUGGGUUGAUGUGUAGUGUGUGAAAUUUCAGAGAGAUCCUUCUUUCUUUUGUA